GGAAUAUUGGACAAUGGGCGAAAGCCUGAUCCAGCAAUGCCGCGUGAGUGAUGAAGGCCUUAGGGUUGUAAAGCUCUUUUACCAGGGAUGAUAAUGACAGUACCUGGAGAAUAAGCUCCGGCUAACUCCGUGCCAGCAGCCGCGGUAAUACAUAGGGUGCAAGCGUUGUCCGGAUUUAUUGGGCGUAAAGAGCUCGUAGGCGGUUAGACACGUCGGAUGUGAAAACUGGGGGCUCAACCCCCAGCCUGCAUUCGAUACGGUCUGACUAGAGUGUGGUAGGGGUAACUGGAAUUCCUGGUGUAGCGGUGAAAUGCGCAGAUAUCAGGAGGAACACCGAUGGCGAAGGCAGGUUACUGGGCCACCACUGACGCUGAGGAGCGAAAGCGUGGGGAGCAAACAGGAUUAGAUACCCUGGUAGUCCACGCCGUAAACGGUGGGCGCUAGAUGUGGGGACCAUUCCAUGGUUUCUGCGUCGCAGCUAACGCAUUAAGCGCCCCGCCUGGGGAGUACGAUCGCAAGAUUAAAACUCAAAUGAAUUGACGG
This 543-nucleotide ribosomal RNA is filed under the name uncultured bacterium. Its description in RNAcentral is "bacterial SSU rRNA". It matches the Rfam family "Bacterial small subunit ribosomal RNA", at positions 358 to 916 of the family's 1533-position model. The record is from RNAcentral.